RNAcentral lists this unclassified non-coding RNA (2535 nucleotides) under Leishmania donovani. Its description in RNAcentral is "gene:LdHU3.31.2310(CDS-product:LSD1_zinc_finger_c ontaining_protein_putative)". Lineage: Eukaryota; Euglenozoa; Kinetoplastea; Trypanosomatida; Trypanosomatidae. The record is from RNAcentral.
CUGUUCUUGCUGCUCGCUCUGCGUGAUCUGACACAUACCUGCGGAGGCGGUGCCCACGAUCUCCCUCAGUCGCUGGCUUGCUUUUAUUUUUAUUUUUCCAUCUUUUAGGUUUGCCUCACUUCAUCUGUCCUCCUGAUUCCGUGCGGUUGCCCGCAGCGCGCGUCUGGUAACACGCGGAGCGCUGCCGAAGGAGAGUGCCUCUGAUACGCGAGAGGAUCGGGCGCUUUCGGUUUUAUUUCCCUUCGCUGGUUGUGUACGAUGCCGCACUCCCCUCAGUCGACAGGGCAGAUCACCUGCCAGCAGUGCCAUGUUACGCUUGCCUACCCCAUCGGUGCCCCCUCGGUGCGGUGCCCGAUGUGCGCAGCCGUGACGCCAGUUCAGCAGUUCAGUGUGACGUGCGUGUGCUGCCGCUGCAUCCUCAUCCUGCCGCAGAACACCAGCCUUGCCAUGUGCCCGCGAUGCCGGACUGUGAUGUCUAUCCCGGCUAGUAUUCGCGAGGGUCACACCGGACCGCAGGCCCCGCCAAAACAAUGCGUUUACAUUGACCGCCCACCCACUGUCAACUCGUCGGGCGUUAAGGUGACUCACUUGGCUGUCGGCACGAAGCUCGACGACGACAACCCGCCGGGAAAGCGCUAGACAUAGUGCUGUAAAAGCAGGUCGCCCGCGACAAUCUUCACCGGUGCAGAGGCACGCGCCCUUCACGCUGCGUGCCCGCACGAAGUCGGCCUCGCCUAUGCUUCUUUGUGAUGUGCCAUAACCGCCUUGUGUGCUGUCGUGUGCGCGUCUUCUGUGAGCUGCUUGCCUCCUCCGCCGCUUUUGCCGUUCUCGUACAAGGCGUCUUGCUACCCGUUGACCCCGCGGCCUGCCCCACUUCCCCCUUUUUAUUUCAUUUUCUUUGGAGUAGGAGGGUGUGGGUGGGUGGGCUCCUCUGUGCCGUCCGACUUCGGUUUGUUUGACGUCCCGCCUGCCCCGUCCUCCCCUCGCUUCGAUGCUGCUGCUCUCGAUGUUGCUUCCUCGUUUGGGGGUCUUUCUUGUUUUUAUUUUGUUUACUGGCGGCUCUAUUGCCCGCCGGCCACCUUCAUGUGUGGCAUCGAGGUCCCCGCGCCUCACACGCCGUGGGGGGAGGAGAGGGGGGAGGCCAGGCAACCUGCAGCCUGCCCUCGGGUACGGCUGCUGACUCUUGCCGUUGGCGGACAGACCUGGGCUGGCGCUGUGCCAAAGAGACGUGCGGUGAUGCUGACGUUUGUGCCCGCUCACUAGGCAUGGUGUCGGCGGCUCGACAACUACGGAAACACCGACUCGUGUGAAAGGCGUGCAGAGUCCGGAGCGGGCGUCGUGCCCCUGCGGCCAUGGACUCCGACGAACAUCUCGCCUGCCGCGGCACAUGCGGGCAGGCGAUUCAUCGACGCCCGAGGUGGCAUCGAUGGAGAUGGACGAUGCGGGCAGCGACCCCCCUCCCCCGGGCAGCGGCGUUGUGAGGCGUGCGCCAAGGUGCAGAGGCGCUGCUGCUGUGCACAGGCACUGUGAAGCGGAGCUGGCACGGUGCAUGGCGCGACCGAGUCCUGUGGGCGCCGAUGUGGAGUGCCGCGGCACGAGGCGACUGAGGGCGAAGCGUGGCGCACAGGCAGAGCGCGCGUGGCCUGCGAGGGCCGUGGCGUGCAGCUGGCCAGCUUCCUCCUCGGGCUGGCCCGGCGUCCGUGCGCCUAGCCGACCCCCUGCUGCCCGCGCGACCGACGCCACCGCCUCCGCCCUGGAGCAGGACCGUGGACGUGGACGGCGUGGAUGGAGGCGCGCGGUCCGGCCGAGCCGGUGUUGCGCCGGUGGCGCAGCGGGUGUGCGAGGAAGAGGGCCGAGGAGGGACAGGAGGAGCCCGUGAGACGCACGGCCCGCCUCGACGGCAUGACGGCUCGCGCUAGAGGGCCCGGAUGCAGCCGUGGCGCGGCAGGGGCAGGAGAGAGGUGUGGCUGUGCGCGUAUGUCUGCUGGCGUGCUCGUGGUGAAAUGGGCACGCGGAUGCGGAGGAAGUUUCAUUGUGGUGCUCAUUGACGUGACGCGAUGCGAUGCUGGUCUUCUGCAUGAAUGUGCCUGCGGGCGGAGCGCGGGCUGAGUUCUUGUGAAGAUGGCGUGCUCUCUGUGGGCCUGCGGCUUGCUUGCGUUUACCAGACGCGCAAAUACAGUGUUGUGCUUCCGGGCCUUUUCGUGUCUUCAGGCUCCUGUGGACGAGGUGGUGUGUCUCUGUGCGUGUGUGUGUACGCGCAUGUGUCUGUUGUGGGCGUCGUCCUCGUUCGUGUCUUCUCGUGCUUUCAGCGUUGUGUAUUUGCAGCGUGUCCGGCGCAGCCGCUUCUUUUCUCCGUUGAUUUCCCGGCUUGUCGCGUUGACGUUUGUGCCUUUUAUUUGCUUCUUCAAAGAAGGACGUGCUUGCGUAUGUAUCGCUGUGCCGUUCUGGUGGAUGACGUGUGUUUCAACGGCACCGCAUCUUUAACAGCUCUCAAUGGCGUCCGGGCACAUGGGUUUUGUGCUCUCUAUCUGGGUG